AGCACUGUGACAUAGCUGGUCAAAGCAACUGUCUUGUAAACACUACAUCCUGGGUUCAAAUCCCAGCAGUGUGU
Molecule: non-coding RNA, 74 nt
Organism: Albula glossodonta (roundjaw bonefish)
Lineage: Eukaryota; Metazoa; Chordata; Actinopteri; Albuliformes; Albulidae
Source: the annotation of a GenBank genome assembly